AGGCUUAGAGUUUGAUCCUGGCUCAGAUUGAACGCUGGCGGCAGGCCUAACACAUGCAAGUCGAGCGGUAGAGAGAAGCUUGCUUCUCUUGAGAGCGGCGGACGGGUGAGUAAUGCCUAGGAAUCUGCCUGGUAGUGGGGGAUAACGUUCGGAAACGGACGCUAAUACCGCAUACGUCCUACGGGAGAAAGCAGGGGACCUUCGGGCCUUGCGCUAUCAGAUGAGCCUAGGUCGGAUUAGCUAGUUGGUGGGGUAAUGGCUCACCAAGGCGACGAUCCGUAACUGGUCUGAGAGGAUGAUCAGUCACACUGGAACUGAGACACGGUCCAGACUCCUACGGGAGGCAGCAGUGGGGAAUAUUGGACAAUGGGCGAAAGCCUGAUCCAGCCAUGCCGCGCGUGUGAAGAAGGUCUUCGGAUUGUAAAGCACUUUAAGUUGGGAGGAAGGGCCGUUACCUAAUACGUGAUGGUUUUGACGUUACCGACAGAAUAAGCACCGGCUAACUCUGUGCCAGCAGCCGCGGUAAUACAGAGGGUGCAAGCGUUAAUCGGAAUUACUGGGCGUAAAGCGCGCGUAGGUGGUUUGUUAAGUUGGAUGUGAAAUCCCCGGGCUCAACCUGGGAACUGCAUUCAAAACUGACUGACUAGAGUAUGGUAGAGGGUGGUGGAAUUUCCUGUGUAGCGGUGAAAUGCGUAGAUAUAGGAAGGAACACCAGUGGCGAAGGCGACCACCUGGACUGAUACUGACACUGAGGUGCGAAAGCGUGGGGAGCAAACAGGAUUAGAUACCCUGGUAGUCCAC
This 801-nucleotide ribosomal RNA is filed under the name uncultured bacterium. Its description in RNAcentral is "bacterial SSU rRNA". It matches the Rfam family "Bacterial small subunit ribosomal RNA", at positions 1 to 798 of the family's 1533-position model. The record is from RNAcentral.